RNAcentral lists this transfer RNA (65 nucleotides) under Eurynassa australis. RNAcentral describes it as "tRNA-Asp". Lineage: Eukaryota; Metazoa; Arthropoda; Insecta; Coleoptera; Cerambycidae. The record is from RNAcentral.
AAAAACUUAGUUAAAUUAAUAACAUUAACUUGUCAAGUUAAAAUUAUUAGAAAUAAUAGUUUUUA